This 440-nucleotide ribosomal RNA is filed under the name uncultured bacterium. RNAcentral's name for it is "partial 16S ribosomal RNA". It matches the Rfam family "Bacterial small subunit ribosomal RNA", at positions 338 to 795 of the family's 1533-position model. The record is from RNAcentral.
CCUACGGGUGGCAGCAGUGGGGGAUAUUGCACAAUGGGGGGAACCCUGAUGCAGCGACGCCGCGUGGGUGAAGAAGCGCCUCGGCGCGUAAAGCCCUGUCAGCAGGGAAGAAAAUGACGGUACCUGACUAAGAAGCCCCGGCUAACUACGUGCCAGCAGCCGCGGUAAUACGUAGGGGGCAAGCGUUAUCCGGAUUUACUGGGUGUAAAGGGAGCGUAGACGGCUGUGCAAGCCAGAUGUGAAAGCCCGGGGCUCAACCCCGGGACUGCAUUUGGAACUGUGUGGCUGGAGUGUCGGAGAGGCAGGCGGAAUUCCUAGUGUAGCGGUGAAAUGCGUAGAUAUUAGGAGGAACACCAGUGGCGAAGGCGGCCUGCUGGACGAUGACUGACGUUGAGGCUCGAAAGCGUGGGGAGCAAACAGGAUUAGAUACCCCGGUAGUC